GAUCAAUGAUGAAAACAUUUCACUACAGACCUUUAUAACUAUAAGGUUUCGACACUUGCUCUGAGUUCA
Molecule: small nucleolar RNA, 69 nt
Organism: Hyaena hyaena (striped hyena)
Lineage: Eukaryota; Metazoa; Chordata; Mammalia; Carnivora; Hyaenidae
Product: small nucleolar RNA U2-30
Exons: 1
Source: RefSeq, a predicted model, not a curated record